GACCGAGGGGGAAAACCUUCCCCCUUGUGAUAAUCCAGCGCCCUGAAAAGGCGUGUGUCGACAGUUCAAUUCUGUCCUUGGCCA
This 84-nucleotide transfer RNA is filed under the name Deltaproteobacteria bacterium. Its description in RNAcentral is "tRNA-Phe". Lineage: Bacteria; Pseudomonadati; Myxococcota; Myxococcia. The record is from RNAcentral.